RNAcentral lists this ribosomal RNA (253 nucleotides) under uncultured bacterium. RNAcentral's name for it is "partial 16S ribosomal RNA". It matches the Rfam family "Bacterial small subunit ribosomal RNA", at positions 524 to 776 of the family's 1533-position model. The record is from RNAcentral.
UACAGAGGGGGCAAGCGUUAUUCGGAAUUAUUGGGCGUAAAGGGCGCGUAGGCGGCCUGACAAGUGGAAGGUGAAAUCCCUCGGCUUAACCGAGGAACUGCCCUCCAAACUGUCUGGCUUGAGACCGGGAGAGGUGAGUGGAAUUCCAGGUGUAGCGGUGAAAUGCGUAGAUAUCUGGAGGAACACCGGUGGCGAAGGCGGCAUCCUGGACCGGCAUUGACGCUAAAGCGCGAAAGCCAGGGGAGCAAACGGG